CGGGACGGGUGAGUAACGCGUGGGUAACCUGCCUCAUACAGGGGGAUAACGGUUAGAAAUGACUGCUAAUACCGCAUAAGCGCACAGUGCUGCAUGGCACAGUGUGAAAAACUCCGGUGGUAUGAGAUGGACCCGCGUCUGAUUAGGUAGUUGGUGGGGUAACGGCCUACCAAGCCGACGAUCAGUAGCCGACCUGAGAGGGUGACCGGCCACAUUGGGACUGAGACACGGCCCAA
RNAcentral lists this ribosomal RNA (236 nucleotides) under uncultured bacterium. RNAcentral's name for it is "partial 16S ribosomal RNA". It matches the Rfam family "Bacterial small subunit ribosomal RNA", at positions 100 to 334 of the family's 1533-position model. The record is from RNAcentral.